GACGAACGCUGGCGGCGUGCCUCAUACAUGCAAGUCGAGCGAAUUGGCUUCGGCCAGUUAGCGGCGGACGGGUGAGUAACGCGUGGGCAAUCUGCCCUAAAGACCGGGAUAACAUUCCGAAAGGGGAUGCUAAUACCGGGUGUGAUCCUAACCUCGCAUGGGGGAUAGGAAGAUAGGAGAAAUCCGCUUUAGGAUGAGCCCGCGUCCCAUUAGCUAGUUGGUAGGGUAAAGGCCUACCAAGGCGACGAUGGGUAGCCGACCUGAGAGGGUGACCGGCCACACUGGGACUGAGACACGGCCCAGACUCCUACGGGAGGCAG
RNAcentral lists this ribosomal RNA (320 nucleotides) under uncultured Bacillota bacterium. RNAcentral's name for it is "bacterial SSU rRNA". It matches the Rfam family "Bacterial small subunit ribosomal RNA", at positions 28 to 351 of the family's 1533-position model. Lineage: Bacteria; Bacillati; Bacillota. The record is from RNAcentral.